AAAACACAUCAAUUUGGCGUGAUCGUUCUUAUAUCGAUUAGCAAGUACAAACUAUAUACGGAGGGAGAAUAAGAAUAAAGUUAUACAGGCAUUUGGAUAUUGUUGCGAUCGAAUUGGCUUCGCGAUCUCAAUCUCAACCUCUCUCUCUCUCUCUCUCUCUGCGCCGAGGCGAAGAAGACGCCGGAGACGAUCAAAUAUUUGUCUGUAAGCAUCAUGCCAAGUACGAGAAAUGCUUCAUAUGCAACAAGUAUACCAAUGGCAUAUUCAACACCGCUUAUGAGAUAAAGAAAAAGAUGGCUGCCAAGGGAGUGUAAAUAAUGUUGCUGAGCGUGGUAUUGGGUUACGGCUUGCUGAGCAUGGUAUUUGGUUACGGCUUGCUGAGCGUGUUACUGGGUUAUGGCUUUGGUAUGUACGUGGAGUACCCCACUCACUGAAUGGUGCAAGUCAACUUUUCACCUGAUCUUCCUUGAUGCGAUUACCUGGAUGAUGAAGUUGCGAGUAUAUGUGCUCGGAUCAUCACAAACAAACCAUUCACAAGGCGAUGAAUGAAGCGAUUGAAGGUCCCUUGCCGCCUCCUGUUUUUCUGUCUCACCUGCAGCGACCACUGCUGUCAUAGUUGAAGCUGCCAAAGAAGCAGCCAUCUCUGAUUUGUAUACUCGAGGUGACGAACUCUCUUCCUCUUGUCCGUGAUCUUCAUCACCAUCUGAUGCCACAUCAUUGCCUUCCUGUUCGGUUUCCGAGCCAAGGGAUGAAAGGUCCUUGGUGUACGAGUGGACAUAUGAUGCAGCUGAAGCAGCAAUCUCAUACGCAACAGUGGGGCGGUUUACACGUUUCUCGUCAGAUAUUCCUGCUUUCUCUGGAUCAGAUACAGUGGGAGCUGAGGCAGUCACAGCAUCAUGCCAAGUACGAGAAAUGCUUCAUAUGCAACAAGUAUACCAAUGGCAUAUUCAACACCGCUUAUGAGAUAAAGAAAAAGAUGGCUGCCAAGGGAGUGUAAAUAAUGUUGCUGAGCGUGGUAUUGGGUUACGGCUUGCUGAGCAUGGUAUUUGGUUACGGCUUGCUGAGCGUGUUACUGGGUUAUGGCUUUGGUAUGUACGUGGAGUACCCCACUCACUGAAUGGUGCAAGUCAACUUUUCACCUGAUCUUCCUUGAUGGUAUUAGAUUCAGAAUUACAUUGAAAUGCAUGUAUACAUCCACAACUGAGCUAGUGUAAUCUGAUUUCCACAAUGAUAAGCAUUUUGUACAAAUUCAGGCAUGCGAGUUGAUUGUCAGAUCUUUUCCUUUUUUCCUUUAUAGAUUUGGAAUUCUUUUU
Molecule: long non-coding RNA, 1313 nt
Organism: Camellia sinensis
Lineage: Eukaryota; Viridiplantae; Streptophyta; Magnoliopsida; Ericales; Theaceae
Source: RefSeq, a predicted model, not a curated record